Molecule: ribosomal RNA, 465 nt
Filed under: uncultured Klebsiella sp.
Lineage: Bacteria; Pseudomonadati; Pseudomonadota; Gammaproteobacteria; Enterobacterales; Enterobacteriaceae
Description: bacterial SSU rRNA
Rfam family: Bacterial small subunit ribosomal RNA
Source: RNAcentral
CCUACGGGCGGCAGCAGUGGGGAAUAUUGCACAAUGGGCGCAAGCCUGAUGCAGCCGUGCCGCGUGUGUGAAGAAGGCCUUCGGGUUGUAAAGCACUUUCAGCGGGGAGGAAGGCGUUAAGGUUAAUAACCUUGGCGAUUGACGUUACCCGCAGAAGAAGCACCGGCUAACUCCGUGCCAGCAGCCGCGGUAAUACGGAGGGUGCAAGCGUUAAUCGGAAUUACUGGGCGUAAAGCGCACGCAGGCGGUCUGUCAAGUCGGAUGUGAAAUCCCCGGGCUCAACCUGGGAACUGCAUUCGAAACUGGCAGGCUAGAGUCUUGUAGAGGGGGGUAGAAUUCCAGGUGUAGCGGUGAAAUGCGUAGAGAUCUGGAGGAAUACCGGUGGCGAAGGCGGCCCCCUGGACAAAGACUGACGCUCAGGUGCGAAAGCGUGGGGAGCAAACAGGAUUAGAUACCCUUGUAGUC